GAUGAAGAACGCAGCGAAAUGCGAUAAGUAAUGUGAAUUGCAGAAUUCAGUGAAUCAUCAAAUCUUUGAACGCACAUUGCGCCCGCUAGUAUUCUGGCGGGCAUGCCUGUUCGAGCGCCAUUUCAACCAUCAAGCCCUGUUUAGGCUUGUGUUGGGGCCCUGCGGCUGCCGCAGCCCCCUAAAUGCAGUGGCGGGCUCGUUGUCACUCCGAGCGCAGUAGCGUAUCUCGCUCUGGGCGUGGCGGCGGGUGCUAGCCGUGAAACACCCACUAAGGUUGACCUCGGAUCAGGUAGGAAUACCCGCUGAACUUAAGCAUAUCAAUAAGCGGAGGA
This 332-nucleotide unclassified non-coding RNA is filed under the name soil metagenome. RNAcentral's name for it is "partial contains 5.8S ribosomal RNA, internal transcribed spacer 2, and large subunit ribosomal RNA". The stretch from base 1 to 120 matches the Rfam family "5.8S ribosomal RNA", at positions 35 to 154 of the family's 154-position model. The record is from RNAcentral.